RNAcentral lists this ribosomal RNA (497 nucleotides) under uncultured bacterium. Its description in RNAcentral is "partial 16S ribosomal RNA". It matches the Rfam family "Bacterial small subunit ribosomal RNA", at positions 28 to 507 of the family's 1533-position model. The record is from RNAcentral.
GAUGAACGCUGGCGGCGUGCCUAAUACAUGCAAGUCGAGCGAACAGACGAGGAGCUUGCUCCUCUGACGUUAGCGGCGGACGGGUGAGUAACACGUGGAUAACCUACCUAUAAGACUUGGAUAACUUCGGGAAACCGGAGCUAAUACCGGAUAAUAUAUUGAACCGCAUGGUUCAAUAGUGAAAGACGGUUUUGCUGUCACUUAUAGAUGGAUCCGCGCCGCAUUAGCUAGUUGGUAAGGUAACGGCUUACCAAGGCAACGAUGCGUAGCCGACCUGAGAGGGUGAUCGGCCACAAGGGAACUGAGACACGGUCCAGACUCCUACGGGAGGCAGGAGUAGGGAAGCUGCCGCAAUGGGCGAAAGCCUGACGGAGCAACGCCGCGUGAGUGAUGAAGGUCUUCGGAUCGUAAAACUCUGUUAUUAGGGAAGAACAAAUGUGUAAGUAACUAUGCACGUCUUGACGGUACCUAAUCAGAAAGCCACGGCUAACUACGUG